CACGUAGGGGGCAAGCGUUGUCCGGAUUUAUUGGGCGUAAAGAGCUCGUAGGCGGCUUAGUAAGUCGGGUGUGAAACCUCCAGGCUCAACCUGGAGGCGCCACCCGAUACUGCUGUGGCUAGAGUCCGGUAGGGGAGCGUGGAAUUCCUGGUGUAGCGGUGAAAUGCGCAGAUAUCAGGAGGAACACCAGCGGCGAAGGCGGCGCUCUGGGCCGGUACUGACGCUGAGGAGCGAAAGCGUGGGGAGCAAACAGG
Molecule: ribosomal RNA, 254 nt
Filed under: uncultured bacterium
Lineage: Bacteria
Description: partial 16S ribosomal RNA
Rfam family: Bacterial small subunit ribosomal RNA
Source: RNAcentral